UUAGAAGUAAGAGUCUUAAGUAGGAGUCCUAUUAGGAGUUAGGGUUUAGAAGCCCUAUAAAUAGCCAUGUAUUCCUUCUCUUUUCUUGGGCAAUAGAUGAAUCUUUUCUGCAGCCUUUGAGCAGCAACUUGGAGGGAGGAACCCCUAUAGAGUUCCAAGGAGGCCGAUCCCCUAAAGAGAUCAACCCCAAGUUUAGAAUUUGCAAGGGUUCUAACACCUGGUAUCAGAGCAGUGUUCUUGGCGUCUCGCUGCCCUUCCACAGCCAUCCAUCAACCCUCUACAACCAUCCAAAGCAAUUCCCACAAUUGCUUAAAAGAUCGUCACCGAAUUCCGUN
This 335-nucleotide long non-coding RNA is filed under the name Musa acuminata (dwarf banana). RNAcentral's name for it is "long non-coding RNA (MACU_LNC008608)". The record is from RNAcentral. Lineage: Eukaryota; Viridiplantae; Streptophyta; Magnoliopsida; Zingiberales; Musaceae.